AAGAAGUGUAGCAUUCCGUUUACGUGAAUAACUUUGAUUAUUAAAUAAAAUUUUUAUGUUGGAAAAACGGGGUGUUACAUUUAU
This is a microRNA precursor of Medicago truncatula (barrel medic), 84 nucleotides long. It matches the Rfam family "MIR2617 microRNA precursor family". Lineage: Eukaryota; Viridiplantae; Streptophyta; Magnoliopsida; Fabales; Fabaceae. The record is from Rfam.